CCUACGGGACGCAGCAGUGGGGAAUAUUGCACAAUGGGCGCAAGCCUGAUGCAGCCAUGCCGCGUGUAUGAAGAAGGCCUUCGGGUUGUAAAGUACUUUCAGCGGGGAGGAAGGUGUUGUGGUUAAUAACCACAACAAUUGACGUACCCGCAGAAGAAGCACCGGCUAACUCCGUGCCAGCAGCCGCGGUAAUACGGAGGGUGCAAGCGUUAAUCGGAAUUACUGGGCGUAAAGCGCACGCAGGCGGUUUGUUAAGUCAGAUGUGAAAUCCCCGGGCUCAACCUGGGAACUGCAUCUGAUACUGGCAAGCUUGAGUCUCGUAGAGGGGGGUAGAAUUCCAGGUGUAGCGGUGAAAUGCGUAGAGAUCUGGAGGAAUACCGGUGGCGAAGGCGGCCCCCUGGACGAAGACUGACGCUCAGGUGCGAAAGCGUGGGGAGCAAACAGGAUUAGAUACCCCUGUAGUC
RNAcentral lists this ribosomal RNA (464 nucleotides) under uncultured bacterium. Its description in RNAcentral is "bacterial SSU rRNA". It matches the Rfam family "Bacterial small subunit ribosomal RNA", at positions 338 to 795 of the family's 1533-position model. The record is from RNAcentral.